AGAGCGAACGCUGGCGGCAGGCUUAACACAUGCAAGUCGAGCGGGCGUAGCAAGUACGUCAGCGGCAGACGGGUGAGUAACGCGUGGGAACAUACCUUUUGGUUCGGAACAACACAGGGAAACUUGUGCUAAUACCGGAUAAGCCCUUACGGGGAAAGAUUUAUCGCCGAAAGAUUGGCCCGCGUCUGAUUAGCUAGUUGGUGAGGUAACGGCUCACCAAGGCGACGAUCAGUAG
RNAcentral lists this ribosomal RNA (235 nucleotides) under uncultured bacterium. RNAcentral describes it as "partial small subunit ribosomal RNA". It matches the Rfam family "Bacterial small subunit ribosomal RNA", at positions 26 to 286 of the family's 1533-position model. The record is from RNAcentral.